AUUGCUUCUCGGCCCUUAGCUAAGAUCAAGUGUAGUAUUGGUUCUUAUCAGUUUAAUAUCUGAUGUUAGUAAAGGAUGUACUUGUACACGAGACUCAUGAGUUAUUGGUAUUGGUUUUCAUAAAAAUUUCAGUGCUGCAGAAAACAAUUGCACACAGAAACUAAAUGUGUGGUUCAGUUAAUGUAU
This is a non-coding RNA of Anolis sagrei ordinatus, 186 nucleotides long. NCBI's taxonomy places the organism in Eukaryota, Metazoa, Chordata, Lepidosauria, Squamata, Anolidae. The record is from RefSeq and is a predicted model, not a curated record.